AGCAGCCGCGGUAAUUCCAGCUCCAAUAGCGUAUAUUAAAGUUGUUGCAGUUAAAAAGCUCGUAGUUGAAUUUCGGGAUCAAUACGUCGGUCGUGCUUAGGUACGUACUGGCGUAAUUGAUUUCUCCCUUCUGACGAACCAUGAUGUCAUUAACUUGGUGUCAUGGGAAAUCAGGACUGUUACUUUGAAAAAUUAGAGUGUUUAAAGCAGGCUCACGCUUGAAUACAUUAGCAUGGAAUAAUGAAAUAGGACGUUCGAUCCUAUUUUGUUGGUUUUUAGGAUCAACGUAAUGAUUAAUAGGGAUAGUUGGGGGCAUUAGUAUUCAAUUGUCAGAGGUGAAAUUCUUGGAUUUAUUGAAGACUAACUACUGCGAAAGCAUUUGCCAAGGAUGUUUUCAUUAAUCAAGAAUGAAAGUUAGGGGAUCGAAGACGAUCAGAUACCGUCGUAGUC
RNAcentral lists this ribosomal RNA (450 nucleotides) under uncultured Glomus. RNAcentral's name for it is "SSU rRNA". It matches the Rfam family "Eukaryotic small subunit ribosomal RNA", at positions 569 to 1025 of the family's 1831-position model. Lineage: Eukaryota; Fungi; Glomeromycota; Glomeromycetes; Glomerales; Glomeraceae. The record is from RNAcentral.